AAGAAGAAUCUAAAGGGAUGCCAGAGCAUCUGCUCCCGGAGAUUUUUUCAAACAAGCUCCAACAGCUGUUUGUGCUAGAAGCCACCAUAAAAAGCAUUCUUAAAAGCAAGAGGGACAGAACAGCAGUAAUGGAGAGAUCGAUGGUUCAGCUGGGAUCCUGGAGAUUUAUUAAGCAUGCACAGUGUACAAGACAACCAGGGACGCAGAGAUGAGAUAAGACACAAUUCUUAACUUUAAAAGAACUCUCUGCGGCGUAGCAAAAGAAGAGAAAAGCAGGCAGCAGAGUAACCGGUCUGUGCGAAAUAGAGAAAAGCUGGGAGUAAAUCAUGACAUACCAGGAUCCUGCAAUACCACGCGGUUCAUAAGAAUAAGGAGCUCCAGGAAUUAUUCCAAAAUCAACAAAAUCAAGCUGCAACAUAAUACAAACGAUGCGACUUUUAUAUAACAACAAACCGGUCUUCAGCACUUGAAACAUUACCUCAUUCUCAGUAAACCCUUCCUGCAUGAAUGAAUGAAUGUGCCAGUCCUCAUUCCUUGCCUGAUUCUUAUUUUACAGGGAUUUCCUCGCAGGACUUCAGCUAAUUCUCAAGACCCAGUUCCAUUCAAUUUACUUGAAUUUUAUUAGAGGGCCAGUCAGCAGAGUUCUAGAUAAGCUGGCCUGAAGCCACGCAGAGGGCAGGGAGGUCCUGCCUCCAGCUCCUGUCUCGCUCUAUAUCAGUGACUCCCCAAGUGACCUUGGAAAGUCCGAUAGUCUCAGAGAGCAGCUCCUGAAUCUGCAGAGUCCUGGCCCUGUCCAGGCGUGGUGGACACUGGCCACAGCCUCAGCAGGAAGAGUGGACGCAUGCUCUGCCUUUUACUCUCAGAAGUCGCCCUUGCUGUUCAGACCACAAAAGGCAGCAGCAAACGCCCCAGGCAGAGCUGCACCUCACGACCAUCGGCUUUGAGUGACUGACCUCAGCAGCCUAAAAGCCAGACAGAGCGGGGCCAACCCACAGUGGUCAGCGGCACCUUCUGCAUCUCUGCAAUGAUUGCAGAUCCGUGAAGCCAGGAUGGCUCCCUUUGCCUGGAGCGCUCCCUGCGUUCUUCGGGUAAAGCAAGGGCCUAUCAAAAACAGUGACAAUUGACGCCGCGGACUGUUAUUGAACCACACGUUGACUUCAUGAAGGCUGGGUCCCCGCAAUCCUCAUGACAGCAGCGUGCGCUUCCCUCUUCUCCCACAGGGACAGCUUUCGAGGGCAGCUGUCGCCUGAUGGGCUGGUGCUGAAUUUGGAGCUGUCAGCUUCUGAUGAGGAGGGAGAAAGGAAAGACGGGCGGCCGUAUGUUGGAUUCCAAAGACUUAAUGCCACGACCCUGAUGAUUUAACGAAUUCAUUUAUUUGCCCAUUAUCUUUGAGCACCUACUAUGUGCUAUGUGCCAUUCUAGAUGCCGGGAACAGAGUAGGUGUAAGAGGUAGGGUCAGCGUGUUUGGCUUUCAUCUGUUGUCAUCCGACAGAAUGACCAUGAAUUGAGCAGCUUAAGAUGGCACCGUGUGAGCUCGGGGUUUCCGUGGACCUGGACUCUGAGCGGGGGUCAGCAGGGUCCUCUCCAAGGCUGCCGUGGAGGUGUCAGCCGGGGAGGGGUUCUCACUGGAAGGUUUGGGGAAAGCUCUGCUGUCACCCGUCACUUAGGGUCAGGCGUGUGUUCUGAGAAAUCUUGGGUAGGUGAGUCCUCGUCGUGAGAAGAGAAUGGCGUGUACUUAGCCAGCCUCGAUGCUGCGGCCUACCACACGCCUGAGCCCGAGGGCGCACACACAGGGUGCAGCUUAGGGUCGUGUUGAACAAAACAACGUGAGGCUAAAUCAAGCCCCAGUGAAAACGAUGCAGUUGAGAGGCCCGGUGAGCAGGAGGUG
Sciurus carolinensis (gray squirrel) is the source of this 1888-nucleotide long non-coding RNA. RefSeq lists it as uncharacterized. The record is from RefSeq and is a predicted model, not a curated record. NCBI's taxonomy places the organism in Eukaryota, Metazoa, Chordata, Mammalia, Rodentia, Sciuridae. The transcript is spliced from 5 exons.